AGCAGCCGCGGUAAUUCCAGCUCCAAUAGCGUAUAUUAAAGUUGUUGCAGUUAAAAAGCUCGUAGUUGAAUUUCGGGACUAGUACGCUGGUCAUGCCUUUGGUAUGUACUGGUGUUACUGGUUCCUACCUUCUGACGAACCGUCAUGUCAUUCAUUUGGUGUGGCGGGGAAUCAGGACUGUUACUUUGAAAAAAUUAGAGUGUUUAAAGCAGGCUCGCGCUUGAAUACAUUAGCAUGGAAUAAUGAAAUAGGACGUUUGAUCCUAUUUUGUUGGUUUCUAGGAUUGACGUAAUGAUUAAUAGGGAUAGUUGGGGGCAUUAGUAUUCAAUUGUCAGAGGUGAAAUUCUUGGAUUUAUUGAAGACUAACUACUGCGAAAGCAUUUGCCAAGGAUGUUUUCAUUAAUCAAGAACGAAAGUUAGGGGAUCGAAGACGAUCAGAUACCGUCGUAGUCUUAACCAUAAACUAUGCCGACUAGGGAUCGGAUGAUGUUAUUUUUAAUGACUCAUUCGGCGCCUUACG
Molecule: ribosomal RNA, 520 nt
Filed under: uncultured Glomus
Lineage: Eukaryota; Fungi; Glomeromycota; Glomeromycetes; Glomerales; Glomeraceae
Description: SSU rRNA
Rfam family: Eukaryotic small subunit ribosomal RNA
Source: RNAcentral